AGCUUGUUGGUGAGGUAACGGCCCACCAAGGCGAAGAUCGGUAGCUGGUCUGAGAGGAUGGUCAGCCACACUGGGACUGAGACACUGCCCAGACUCCUACGGGAGGCUGCAGUCGAGGAUCUUCCGCAAUGGGCGAAAGCCUGACGGAGCGAUGCCGCGUGAGGGAUGAAGGCCUUCGGGUUGUAAACCUCUGUCACCCGGGACGAAGAAUGUGACGGUACCGGGAGAGGAAGCCACGGCUAACUACGUGCCAGCAGCCGCGGUAAUACGUAGGUGGCGAGCGUUAUUCGGAUUCACUGGGCGUAAAGGGUCCGCAGGGGGUUUGCCAAGUCUGAUGUGAAAUACCGAGGCUCAACCUUGGAACGGCAUUGGAUACUGGUGAACUAGAGUGCACGAGGGGUGAGUGGAAUUCCUGGUGUAGCGGUGGAAUGCGUAGAUAUCAGGAAGAACACCGAUGGCGAAGGCGGCUCACUGGCGUGCAACUGACCCUCAGGGACGAAAGCGUGGGGAGCAAACAGGAUUAGAUACCCUGGUAGUCCACGCUGUAAACGGUGUGCACUAGAUGUGGGCGGAGUUUGAUCCCGUCCGUGUCUGGGCUAACGCGUUAAGUGCACCGCCUGGGGACUACGGCCGCAAGGCUAAAACUCAAAGGAAUUGACGGGGGCCCGCACAAGCGGUGGAGCAUGUGGCUCAAUUCGAGGCAACGCGAAGAACCUUACCUGGGCUUGACAUGUACCUGCCAACCGUGGAAACACGGUGUUCCUUCGGGACGGGUACACAGGUGCUGCAUGGCUGUCGUCAGCUCGUGUCGUGAGAUGUUCGGUUAAGUCCGGCAACGAGCGCAACCCGUGUCGUCAGUUGCCAACAGGUAAUACUGGGGACUCUGACGAGACUGCCCGUGUCAAGCGGGAGGAAGGCGCGGAUGACGUCAAGUCAGUAUGGCCCUUACGCCCAGGGCUGCACACGUGCUACAAUGGGCGGUACAGUGGGAUGCGAUACCGCGAGGUGGAGCAAAUCCUGAAAACCGCCCCCAGUUCAGAUUGAAGUCUGCAACUCGACUUCAUGAAGCCGGAAUCGCUAGUAAAGGCGUAUCAGCAACGGCGCCUUGAAUACGUUCCCGGGCCUUGUACACACCGCCCGUCACAUCAUGGGAGCUGGCUGCACCCGAAGUCACCGACCGAACCCGCAAGGGGCGGAGGUGCCGAAGGUGUGCCCAGUGACUGGGAUGAAGUCGUAACAAGGUAGCCGUAGGGGAACCUGCGGCUG
This 1266-nucleotide ribosomal RNA is filed under the name metagenome. Its description in RNAcentral is "bacterial SSU rRNA". It matches the Rfam family "Bacterial small subunit ribosomal RNA", at positions 243 to 1520 of the family's 1533-position model. The record is from RNAcentral.